RNAcentral lists this long non-coding RNA (279 nucleotides) under Homo sapiens (human). RNAcentral describes it as "non-protein coding lnc-RBMS1-9:1". The record is from RNAcentral. Lineage: Eukaryota; Metazoa; Chordata; Mammalia; Primates; Hominidae.
GUGUGUGCGCGCGCGCGGAGAAGGGAGGCUGGGUGGGCGGGAAGUGGGGGGAAGGGAAGAAACUUGGAUAAUUGUCUAGGCAUUUCCAUUCAGCCCUAGUGGCAAUGAAAGAAAGAUGUACAUACCUCAGAACCCUUCGCAGUGAAUACCUAAUAAUUACUGUCACCCUGGUGAGGAACAUGUCAAUAUGAUGUGCUUGGCACCAGGAGAAGUCGAGGCACCACUCUCAUUCUUCCACAAGUUAAGGUUCUUCACUGUGGCACAGAGGCCUGCUCAAAU